GGAAGGCAUGAAUGAAUGAAUCUCCAUAAAGAGCCCCAAGCAGCAGGGAGAGGGAGAGAGGAGGAGGAGGAAAGAGGAGAGGAAGAGCCGGAUCAGGGUAGCCGCAGACGCGAUGCCGGCAGCUCCGACCAUGAUCAGUGCAUAAAUCUACCUUCAACGCAGGAUGCUGGGGAGGUACCAAGGGAGAGCAGCGUGUUCCUGGCUGCAUGGUGAGGAGGGAAGGAUGCACACACAGUUCCAACACCAGUGCUGACCGUCCUGCAGGACCCCCAAUGCUGUGCCCAGCGUGCCUCACAGCCCCCACACACACCAACUAGCAGACCUUCAUGACUUCAGCGGGAGCCGGCAGCAACACACGGGCACAAAGGUAGGGAGCAACCUUCAUACUUGCAUGUCCAGAGUGAGAGAAGUAGGCUGAUGUGAGACAGCUGGGCAUGGGGAAGAGUGAUGGUGAGCUGGGUGCUGAGCAUGGACCUUCCUGGAGAAACUACGAGUGAGCUGCCACACUGCUCAGGGUGUGCAAGCAGUGCAAGUUAUCAUGGUUUUACAUAUAUUAGCUUGAAUUCACAUUCUCCUGUUAAGAUUUAAGGGAUAUAGAAAAAAUGCAUUUUUUUCUCCCCUGAAUGAGGAGCUCAGUGUGUGCCUCCAUUCCAACUUCCACAAAAUGGUGUUCUACAAAGCAGAAAAAAAAGAACAUCGGGUUCACACUGGUGCUGUAAUUUAGUUUUCUAAGCCCAGAGUUUGCCAUGUGCUUCCUGUUGAAAUGACUGGCUGUGCUGGGCACACUAAGAAGUAUUCUUCCUCUUUCUCAUCUCCACCUCAGCAUUAUGAAAAGGGUUUUCAUCAGUUCAUCGAGAGAAGGAGAUAACUUUUGUAUAAAAGUGCACAGUCGACAGGGUUGAGUUUUUGGAUAGUGUAUAAUUUAUUUUUUUUUUGCACUGUUAUUAUUUAAAAUAUGCUUUUUAAGAGGACAAAAGGGAACAGUUUAAUGGAAACAAAUUUCGACAGCAGAAUGUGCAGCUGGAUAAAAAAAGAUUAUUCCUGUUAUUGCUUGGGUAGACAAGUGAAUUUGGAAUUUGAGUACAAAAGGUGUUAAAAAGUGUGCUUAAACUUUUCUUCGGUGUGCUGUUGAGAUUGAAAAGAAUAAUUUCAGGAGAAAAACUUUUCUCACAGCCUCCAUUUCCAGCAUUGUCAAAUCUAUAGCUGUGGC
This 1210-nucleotide long non-coding RNA is filed under the name Chrysolophus pictus (golden pheasant). RNAcentral's name for it is "lncRNA (ENSCPIG00010001196.1)". Lineage: Eukaryota; Metazoa; Chordata; Aves; Galliformes; Phasianidae. The record is from RNAcentral.